This 277-nucleotide ribosomal RNA is filed under the name uncultured Mogibacterium sp. RNAcentral describes it as "partial 16S ribosomal RNA". It matches the Rfam family "Bacterial small subunit ribosomal RNA", at positions 511 to 788 of the family's 1533-position model. Lineage: Bacteria; Bacillati; Bacillota; Clostridia; Peptostreptococcales; Anaerovoracaceae. The record is from RNAcentral.
GCAGCCGCGGUAAUACGUAUGGGGCAAGCGUUAUCCGGAAUUAUUGGGCGUAAAGAGUGCGUAGGUGGUUACCUAAGCGCAAGGUUUAAUCUUGAGGCUCAACCUCAUUCUGCCUUGCGAACUGGGCUACUUGAGUGCAGGAGGGGAAAGCGGAAUUCCCAGUGUAGCGGUGAAAUGCGUAGAUAUUGGGAAGAACACCGGUGGCGAAGGCGGCUUUCUGGACUGUAACUGACACUGAGGCACGAAAGCGUGGGGAGCAAACAGGAUUAGAUACCCC